AGUAAUCCAACGUGAUCGCAAUUGUGUGGAGAACAAAGUGACACGUAUAAUACGGCAGGAAAAUUUAUAGAGCAGGACUGUGCAUUUAACUAAUUAAUAUUUAGUAUCGAUCAAAUUAGCUUUUUUCUUGGUGGCGCGCUGAAAGCCUACGUUUAGCUGUAGGAGCGUGAAAUUUAUAUUAUUCUCAUUUUCGAGACAGGAUCGGUGUAAUAGAGGUGACGCGGGUUCAACAGACAGGAAUUCGAACCUCGUCACAAAUAGAAGUUGUGCAAAUUAUAAAACAACUAGAUUUGCUAGAAGGAUCAGUUGCAAUUCGUCUCACUUACCUGCUCGAUACGAUAGAUAGGCAUUGAUAGAUUGAUUCGGAUAGCGUGAUACUAGGGGAAGACUUAAUCUUUGAGCUGCUGCACUGUGCGUAAGGCUGCUUCAAGGGACUCCCAUUGUCCGAACAAUCUCCCCAACAGAAGC
Topomyia yanbarensis is the source of this 468-nucleotide long non-coding RNA. RefSeq lists it as uncharacterized. NCBI's taxonomy places the organism in Eukaryota, Metazoa, Arthropoda, Insecta, Diptera, Culicidae. The transcript is spliced from 4 exons. The record is from RefSeq and is a predicted model, not a curated record.